CCCUUAGAUGUUCUGGGCCGCACGCGCGCUACACUGAACAGUUCAACAAGUCUUAACCUUGGCCGAUAGGUCUGGGUAAUCUUUGAACGCUGUUCGUGAUUGGGAUAGACCUUUGCAAUUAUGGGUCUUCAACGAGGAAUUCCUAGUAAACGCAAGUCAUCAGCUUGCAUUGAUUACGUCCCUGCCCUUUGUACACACCGCCCGUCGCACCUACCGAUCGAAGGUAAUGAUGAGCCCUCAGGAUUGUGGCCUCGUCGCGUCAGCGUCUUGGCUGCGAGAAUCUGUGCAAAUCCCUACCUUUAGAGGAAGGUGAAGUCGUANCA
This 323-nucleotide ribosomal RNA is filed under the name uncultured eukaryote. RNAcentral describes it as "partial 18S ribosomal RNA". It matches the Rfam family "Eukaryotic small subunit ribosomal RNA", at positions 1470 to 1796 of the family's 1831-position model. The record is from RNAcentral.